GAAUAUAGUGAAGGCCCUUGCUGCUCAGAUGUAAUGGAAAAUGUUUAGGCCAAAAGAAAAAAAAAAGGAAGAAGAAGAAAAAAGACCACAUUCACGUGUCUAACAUAUUGGGCUUGUACUCAUUAUGACAUCAUUAAAUGCCAAUUAGAGAGUUCUGUUGGUAUUCAGCUUUCUGACUUCAUUUCACAAUAAUUUGUAUUGACAGCAUUUUAUGGCUGCUAUAUACUUUGCUAGCACCAAGACCGGUGGAUUCUGAUCCAGAAAAAUGUGAUGCUUUAACAAGCCAUUCCCAACAGCGAAUUCUUGGAGAGGAACAAUGCCAUUCUCUUAGGGAACCAAAUGUGGAUGGUACUAACAGGUAAAUUUCUUAAUUUAUAAAUAUGACUAAAAUGUUAACACAUUUUCUGAAACUGAUACAU
Molecule: long non-coding RNA, 419 nt
Filed under: Oryctolagus cuniculus (rabbit)
Lineage: Eukaryota; Metazoa; Chordata; Mammalia; Lagomorpha; Leporidae
Description: lncRNA (ENSOCUG00000035187.1)
Source: RNAcentral